UUUCGCAAUGCCCGAAAGGGUGACGAAGCGACGCCGCGUGUGGGAAGAAGGCCUUCGGGUUGUAAACCACUGUCGGGAGUUAAGAAAUGCAAGGAUAUGAAUAGUGUCUUUGCUUGACUAAGGCUCCGGAGGAAGCCACGGCUAACUCUGUGCCAGCAGCCGCGGUAAUACAGAGGCGGCAAGCGUUGUUCGGAAUUAUUGGGCGUAAAGAGCACGUAGGCGGCUAUGUAAGUCGGUUGUGAAAGCCUUCCGCUCAACGGGAGAACAGCAUCCGAUACUGCAUGGCUUGAGUGCGGGAGGGGAGAGUGGAACUUCUGGUGGAGCGGUGAAAUGCGUAGAUAUCAGAAGGAACGCCGGCGGCGAAAGCGGCUCUCUGGUCCAUAACUGACGCUGAGUGUGCGAAAGCUAGGGGAGCAAACGGGAUUAGAUACCCCGGUAGUCCUAGCCGUAAACGAUGGGCACUAAGUAGAGGGGUUUU
Molecule: ribosomal RNA, 478 nt
Filed under: uncultured anaerobic ammonium-oxidizing bacterium
Lineage: Bacteria
Description: bacterial SSU rRNA
Rfam family: Bacterial small subunit ribosomal RNA
Source: RNAcentral